This 805-nucleotide long non-coding RNA is filed under the name Vombatus ursinus (common wombat). RNAcentral's name for it is "lncRNA (ENSVURG00010015185.1)". Lineage: Eukaryota; Metazoa; Chordata; Mammalia; Diprotodontia; Vombatidae. The record is from RNAcentral.
GUUGGAGUCCUUUCCCUGAGGGCAAGGCCUGGGUCUUCCUAACUCCUAUGGGACCUUGCCCUCUGUAAAUUCCAGUUGGGCAGCCUCCUGCCUAUGAAGAGAGGAGAAAGAGCUCUUCUCUGGGAUCCUUCUCCCUCCCCAGCUCAGUCUGCAGAGGAACAAAACCUACCCCAAGAAGGGAGCCUGGAUUGAGAGAGAAUGGCUCCUGGGAGCAGCCAAGCCCCAGCCCAGCUCGUCAGUGUUCAGACGGAGAGACCAGGCUGGAGGGCCCCUCACCAUCCACCAGGAGACUGUUUGGAUCCAGGGUAAAGUUCUGUAGCUGGGUGCCAUCAUGGGCAGUCUGAGGACCUCUUGGUACGCAGAAGCCCUGUCAAAGUUCCGGGCCUGAGCGGCUGAUGUGAAGUCACAUGAGCAGUCCACUUCUGUGAGGCGUCUGGGAGAGAGGAGCCUAAAGAAGAAGAGGGCAGGGUGUGGGUGAAUGAGAGAGGAAGAAGGCAGGUAGAGAGGAGAGGACAGGAGCAGUGAUGGCCUCAGGGGAGCUGGGGCAUGCUGAGCAGCCUUCUGGCCCUGGCAGGAAAACCUGCACCUCCCCACCAAAACUAGACUUCUUACGUGUUUUGUGAAUACAUGCAUCUAGAUGGGCUCCUUGAGGACACGGAUGGCUUUAUUCUUUGUAUCUUUUGCCCUGUGCCUGACACUUCGAGUAUGCUGCUUAAAACCUUAUUGAAAGGCUGAUUGCUUCUAUAUGUGUGUAGAUUUACAUGUUGUCUCUCUAUGUUCCCCAGCACGUGUCCCACUGCUUGGG